AAGCAAAGAAACAAAAGAAAAUUAUUUUCAUGAACACAAAAGUAAGUGCAUGUCUAUGAGGCGCCAUAGAGCUUCACUUUUUGUGGAACAAAGUGUUUUUCUACCUGGCAGACCUUUAAAAAAAAAAAAAAAAAAACUUACAUAAAAUUAAACCGAUGACAUUUUCUAUAUCUUUUACACAUGAAAAAAUGGAGUUCUUUCAGACUAAGACAUCACACAUCAGGAAUUUCUGCACUUCUUUCUCCUCUAAACCAAUGGUCAAUACCAAGUAUUAACAAACGUAUACAGGUAUUGAUAUACACUUAGGUCCUCAAAACAUCAAUUACAAGUACUGCCGGUAGUUCUACAAAAUGGCGUGUGUGUGUGUGUGUGUGUGUGUGUGCAAUAAAUCAAAUAAAA
Molecule: long non-coding RNA, 399 nt
Organism: Etheostoma cragini (Arkansas darter)
Lineage: Eukaryota; Metazoa; Chordata; Actinopteri; Perciformes; Percidae
Exons: 2
Source: RefSeq, a predicted model, not a curated record